UAACCUUUGUGUUUGAGGGGGCUCAUAAAAUUAAACAGAAGAGACUGGCAGGACGUGCCUGGUAGCAUCUCGAUUGGGUGAGAGGACUGGCAGAGUGAAGGGAGUAUCACAUUGAAUCUAGAGGUGCAGUGUCUUCUUUUGCAUUUUUCAGAUAAACAAAAUUAGACCCAGCGGUGAGAAACUCAAUGAAACAUCUGCAAGGUGUGACUGAGGUGUGACCAGAGACCAUUCUCUAUAACAAUACCACUGUGCAUUUACCAUAUAGCAGUUAGAAUUGCAGAUCAAUCUUUUAUAAGACAUUUUUUUUAAA
Molecule: long non-coding RNA, 310 nt
Organism: Stegastes partitus (bicolor damselfish)
Lineage: Eukaryota; Metazoa; Chordata; Actinopteri; Pomacentridae
Exons: 3
Source: RefSeq, a predicted model, not a curated record